RNAcentral lists this long non-coding RNA (1290 nucleotides) under Calidris pugnax (ruff). RNAcentral's name for it is "lncRNA (ENSCPUG00000009690.1)". Lineage: Eukaryota; Metazoa; Chordata; Aves; Charadriiformes; Scolopacidae. The record is from RNAcentral.
UGUGACAGCGAUUGGGAUGAGAUUAUCUCCUUACUGCUGUGCCUGCUGCUGCCACCUUGAUUCGACAAGGCUGUACCGGUCUGAGCAACACACUGUGGAAGGAUUUGUGUUGGCAAAUGGCUAAACACCAUUUAGCAGGGGCAGCACUGCAGAUGGACGGAUGGAUGGAAGCAUCAGGAGACUGCAGUUACCAGCAGGGAGCUCAGCCCUUCAAGCCCAUCAGGACACCGGGAGAACCCUCUCAAGAUCUGAACAACUGGCUGACUUCAAACAUCCGGAGAACACUGUAGCCUCGGCUGAAGGCACGGGCACCUUCCCAGACUAAGAGGAAGCCUUCCCUGUGAUUGCCCACAGCCGGACUGGGACUCUGCCACUUCAACCAUCUCUCUGUGGUUGGGGAAGGGCUCUGCUGUGACCCCACUGCCCCUCAAGGGCUCCACACCGGGGGCAGACCCACAGAGGAGGAGCCCAAGGAGAAGCCCCCAUUUAUUCCCCUGCCUGAGCCGCCCACAGGGAGAGGGCUCGGAGAACAAAGCCGCUUCUCCUGAGAUUUAAUCCAGUCGAAGGGUCUUUUAAAGUUUGUUCGACAGCGACAGAGUCCCUUUGAACUUGGCAUUCACACGGGGUGCCAUUAAAAACAAAAGCCUGUUUACCAGAACACCGUAUCUGAGAUGGAAAACACUGCAAAUACUGCAGGAAGUUAAUAACAUUAAAAAAAAAAAAAGAGAAAAAAAGAAAUAAUAAUAAUAACCCACCUAAGAUUACUUAAAUACCCCCUAUUUUUGUCCAGGAAGGUUUUUCAGGGCUGGUUCCCCUCUCAGUUGGGAAGAAAGUUUCUCAUUUAGAAAGAGGAACCCAAGGGGCAAGGAAGCGCCCGCCGCCAGCUCCUGCAGGCCCCUGCCCUACUGUUUAGCAAUCCCUGCGGGAUGCUAUUCCAUGAACACCCCUAACAACAGGCUGCCUGGGAGCCUAAAUACUUAAAAACAAACUAAGAAGAGCAAUAACUGAAGUGGGGGGGUUAGUACAAGGACUGAGGGACUACUAGGGCACAGCCAUCACUUGCAGAGCUGCACAGCCACGGCUCCACGGUUGGACUUGAUGAUCUUAAAGGGCUUUUCUGACCUAAAUGACUCUAUGAUUCCACCAACACAACUGCUCUGGCUGUAUUUGCUGAAUACUGUCAUAUGAAAUAGAUUCACAUGGUACCUCGUUUAAUUGUAGCUACUGUUUAGGAAAGCAAACGCACAGUCACUGCGGCUGUACGUGUCCUUUGCGGGAAGGGUUUGUCUC